RNAcentral lists this transfer RNA (73 nucleotides) under Marmota marmota marmota (Alpine marmot). It matches the Rfam family "tRNA". Rfam says of the family: Transfer RNA (tRNA) molecules are approximately 80 nucleotides in length. Their secondary structure includes four short double-helical elements and three loops (D, anti-codon, and T loops). Further hydrogen bonds mediate the characteristic L-shaped molecular structure. tRNAs have two regions of fundamental functional importance: the anti-codon, which is responsible for specific mRNA codon recognition, and the 3' end, to which the tRNAs corresponding amino acid is attached (by aminoacyl-tRNA synthetases). tRNAs cope with the degeneracy of the genetic code in two manners: having more than one tRNA (with a specific anti-codon) for a particular amino acid; and 'wobble' base-pairing, i.e. permitting non-standard base-pairing at the 3rd anti-codon position. RNAcentral also lists the same sequence under 1 other name. Lineage: Eukaryota; Metazoa; Chordata; Mammalia; Rodentia; Sciuridae. The record is from Rfam by way of RNAcentral.
UGAGAUAUAGCUCAGUUGGUAGAGUGCUUGCCUCCCAUGCACAAGGCCCUGGGUUUAAUUCCCAGUACCACAC